UAAUACAGAGGGUGCAAGCGUUAUCCGGAUUUAUUGGGCGUAAAGCGUUUCGUAGGUUUCUAGAUAAGUUAGUCUUCAAAGACCACGGCUCAACCGGGGGAAGGGGACUAAUACUGUCUUGGAUUGAAAUAUGAUGGGGCUUCUGGAACUGAUGGUGUAGUAGUGAAAUACGUUGAUAUCAUCAGGAACUCCGAGGGCGAAGGCAGGAAGCUAAUCAUUUUUUGACACUGAGGAACGACAGCUAGGGGAGCGAAAGGGAUUAGAGACCCCUGUAGUCCUAGCCGUAAACUUUGCUCGCUAGGGGUUGGUGAUUUAUCACUCGCCCCGUAAGCUAACGCGUUAAGCGAGCCGCCUGGGGAGUACGGCCGCAAGGCUAAAACUCAAAGGAAUUGACGG
RNAcentral lists this ribosomal RNA (396 nucleotides) under bacterium enrichment culture. RNAcentral describes it as "bacterial SSU rRNA". It matches the Rfam family "Bacterial small subunit ribosomal RNA", at positions 521 to 916 of the family's 1533-position model. The record is from RNAcentral.